Molecule: ribosomal RNA, 429 nt
Filed under: Actinomycetes bacterium
Lineage: Bacteria; Bacillati; Actinomycetota; Actinomycetes
Description: Actinobacteria bacterium partial 16S ribosomal RNA
Rfam family: Bacterial small subunit ribosomal RNA
Source: RNAcentral
UAGGGAAUCUUCCGCAAUGGGCGAAAGCUUGACGGAGCAACGCCGCGUGAGGGAUGAAGGCCUUCGGAUCGUAAAACUCUGUUAUUAGGGAAGAACAAAUGUGUAAGUAACUAUGCACGUCUUGACGGUACCUAAUCAGAAAGCCACGGCUAACUACGUGCCAGCAGCCGCGGUAAUACGUAGGUGGCAAGCGUUAUCCGGAAUUAUUGGGCGUAAAGCGCGCGUAGGCGGUUUUUUAAGUCUGAUGUGAAAGCCCGCGGCUCAACCGUGGAAGGUCAUUGGAAACUGGAAAACUUGAGUGCAGAAGAGGAAAGUGGAAUUCCAUGUGUAGCGGUGAAAUGCGCAGAGAUAUGGAGGAACACCAGUUGCGAAGGCGACUUUCUAGUCUGUAACUGACGCUGAUGUGCGAAAGCGUGGGGAUCAAACAGG